GCAAUUUUUUCAACACAAGUGGUUUGUCUAUUAAGGUAUUCAAGUGAUUCAUGCCAAUAUGUGAAAUAUGCAAUCUAUUUCCAUUGCCAACUACAAUUUUUUCCUUACCAGUGUACUCACUUGCUGAAUUUAUGUUUUCCAUUUCUGCAGUGACAUGGUUACUGGCUCCUGUGUCUGCAAACCAGGCAGGGUCACUUACAGUGUUGGGAGCUGCCAUAAGGACUGUUGGUGAUGAGCUAUAGCUACUUCCCUGGUUUGGUGGUUUUCCUGUAUAGCGUUCAUCAUAUCUAAAAUUGCAGAUAUUUGCCUUGUGUCCAAUUUUGCCACAUACUUGACAGACAGGUUUUUCACUGAUGUUGAAGCCGCCACCACCACCUCUGUAUCUGCCUCUUCUUCCUCCUCUGUUGAAUCUGCCGCCAUUAUUUGGCCUGUAGGCUCUGAAGUGAUGGUUGCUUAAUCCUGGUUUUUGGGUAAAAUUGAUUGAUGUUUGAUUGAGGUUAAUUUCUGCCAUUUCAUUUUUCACCAAAUUGAGAUGUUCAAGUCUGCUUUCAUAAGUCAUGAGUGUUGAUUGGAGUUCUCCUCAAGAGAUGGAGUCUCUGCCAUUGAUUUGAACAACAAUGGGUGUGUAUUCUUCAUCCAAACCAGCCAGGACCUAAGUUACAAGAUCCGAGUGAGGGAUGGUUUUUCCAGCAAUCUCAAGGUUGUCUGCCAGAAGUUUUACUUUGCUGAGGUAUUGAUCGAUGCUCAAUGUUCCCUUCCUUGAUUUCUGAAGUUCCCCAGUGAGAAAUGUUAUUCUGGAUUUGUUUUGGAUGCCAUAGCUCUCUUUUAAUGCAGCCCACAAUUUGCUGGAGUUGCUGCAGCCCAUGACCCUCAUAGCUAUUUCAGGGGUCAUUGAUGAGUAAAGCCACCCCAUUAGCAGCUGAUCUGUUGACAUCCACUGAUCAUAUUCAGGAUUCUUUUUCAUCUCAACCAUCAUUCCUGCAUCUCCAGAGAUUUUGGUACCAAUGAAUUCUGGAGGACACACCUUUGUCCCCAGAAUGUAUCCAUCUAGAUUAUGUCCUCUUAUAAUAGGGAGUAUCAUGUUUUGCCAUAGCAGAAAGUUGUUCUUGUCAAGCUUGACAGACAACAUUUGAGUUAGGUAGACACCAGAUGAUGAGAAAUGGUUGCUUCCCUGCACUGGAGGCACCAUUGUGCUUGAUUCUGAUGAUGGAGAAGGAUUGGAAUUGGUAUUUAGUGGUGUAUCAUUGACGUUGGCCAUUGUAGGCUCUGAUACCAAGUUGAAAUUGUAAUCUAUAUUUACUUGUAUUUUCAAUACACAAUUUACAGCAGCUUCAGUUGAAGGGAAUUUAUACACGUUAUUGAGCUUGGAGAAUAAGUUACAAGAGUAUUCUAGAAUACACAGCUGUAGCAAUUUCCUUGAAUCAUGGGCUGUGGCUGGAAUCCAUUAAUAACAGAAUUUCUGCAGCACAAUCUGGUGUUGUUGGUGUAACAGAAAUGGCUGAUAAGCUGAUAAAUCAAUAGGCAAGAUAAGUUCAUUAGCUGAUUAGGUGAUGAGCUGUAGGUUGGCUUAUCUUUACAAG
This 1580-nucleotide long non-coding RNA is filed under the name Olea europaea (common olive). Its description in RNAcentral is "long non-coding RNA (OEUR_LNC012714)". Lineage: Eukaryota; Viridiplantae; Streptophyta; Magnoliopsida; Lamiales; Oleaceae. The record is from RNAcentral.